AGAGUUUGAUCCUGGCUCAGAUUGAACGCUGGCGGAAUGCUUUACACAUGCAAGUCGAACGGUAACAGCAGAGCUUGCUCUGGCUGACGAGUGGCGGACGGGUGAGUAAUAUAUCGGAACGUGUCCAAUAAUGGGGGAUAACUAGCCGAAAGGUUGGCUAAUACCGCAUACGCCCUGAGGGGGAAAGCUGGGGAUCUUCGGACCUGGCGUUAAUGGAGCGGCCGAUACCUGAUUAGCUAGUAGGUGGGGUAAAAGCCUACCUAGGCAACGAUCAGUAGCUGGUCUGAGAGGACGACCAGCCACACUGGGACUGAGACACGGCCCAGACUCCUACGGGGGGCAGCAGUGGGGAAUUUUGGACAAUGGGGGCAACCCUGAUCCAGCCAUUCCGCGUGAGUGAAGAAGGCCUUCGGGUUGUAAAGCUCUUUCGCGAGAGAAGAAACGAUAUAGGUUAAUAGCCUAUGUUAAUGACGGUAUCUUGAUAAGAAGCACCGGCUAACUACGUGCCAGCAGCCGCGGUAAUACGUAGGGUGCAAGCGUUAAUCGGAAUUACUGGGCGUAAAGCGUACGCAGGCGGUUUGGUAAGUCAGAUGUGAAAUCCCCGAGCUCAACUUGGGAACUGCGUUUGAAACUACCAGACUAGAAUAUGUCAGAGGGGGGUAGAAUUCCACGUGUAGCAGUGAAAUGCGUAGAGAUGUGGAGGAAUACCAAUGGCGAAGGCAGCCCCCUGGGAUAAUAUUGACGCUCAUGUACGAAAGCGUGGGGAGCGAACAGGAUUAGAUACCCUGGUAGUCCACGCCCUAAACGAUGUCAACUAGUUGUUGGUGGAGUAAAAUCCAUGAGUAACGUAGCUAACGCGUGAAGUUGACCGCCUGGGGAGUACGGUCGCAAGAUUAAAACUC
This 902-nucleotide ribosomal RNA is filed under the name uncultured bacterium. Its description in RNAcentral is "bacterial SSU rRNA". It matches the Rfam family "Bacterial small subunit ribosomal RNA", at positions 8 to 902 of the family's 1533-position model. The record is from RNAcentral.